ACUUAAAUUGAAGAGUUUGAUCAUGGCUCAGAUUGAACGCUGGCGGCAGGCCUAACACAUGCAAGUCGAGCGGUAGCACAGAGAGCUUGCUCUCGGGUGACGAGCGGCGGACGGGUGAGUAAUGUCUGGGAAACUGCCUGAUGGAGGGGGAUAACUACUGGAAACGGUAGCUAAUACCGCAUAACGUCGCAAGACCAAAGUGGGGGACCUUCGGGCCUCAUGCCAUAAGAUGUGCCCAGAUGGGAUUAGCUAGUAGGUGGGGUAACGGCUCACCUAGGCGACGAUCCCUAGCUGGUCUGAGAGGAUGACCAGCCACACUGGAACUGAGACACGGUCCAGACUCCUACGGGAGGCAGCAGUGGGGAAUAUUGCACAAUGGGCGCAAGCCUGAUGCAGCCAUGCCGCGUGUGUGAAGAAGGCCUUCGGGUUGUAAAGCACUUUCAGCGGGGAGGAAGGCGGUGAGGUUAAUAACCUCAUCGAUUGACGUUACCCGCAGAAGAAGCACCGGCUAACUCCGUGCCAGCAGCCGCGGUAAUACGGAGGGUGCAAGCGUUAAUCGGAAUUACUGGGCGUAAAGCGCACGCAGGCGGUCUGUCAAGUCGGAUGUGAAAUCCCCGGGCUCAACCUGGGAACUGCAUUCGAAACUGGCAGGCUAGAGUCUUGUAGAGGGGGGUAGAAUUCCAGGUGUAGCGGUGAAAUGCGUAGAGAUCUGGAGGAAUACCGGUGGCGAAGGCGGCCCCCUGGACAAAGACUGACGCUCAGGUGCGAAAGCGUGGGGAGCAAACAGGAUUAGAUACCCUGGUAGUCCACGCCGUAAACGAUGUCGAUUUGGAGGUUGUGCCCUUGAGGCGUGGCUUCCGGAGCUAACGCGUUAAAUCGACCGCCUGGGGAGUACGGCCGCAAGGUUAAAACUCAAAUGAAUUGACGGGGGCCCGCACAAGCGGUGGAGCAUGUGGUUUAAUUCGAUGCAACGCGAAGAACCUUACCUGGUCUUGACAUCCACAGAACUUUCCAGAGAUGGAUUGGUGCCUUCGGGAACUGUGAGACAGGUGCUGCAUGGCUGUCGUCAGCUCGUGUUGUGAAAUGUUGGGUUAAGUCCCGCAACGAGCGCAACCCUUAUCCUUUGUUGCCAGCGGUCCGGCCGGGAACUCAAAGGAGACUGCCAGUGAUAAACUGGAGGAAGGUGGGGAUGACGUCAAGUCAUCAUGGCCCUUACGACCAGGGCUACACACGUGCUACAAUGGCAUAUACAAAGAGAAGCGACCUCGCGAGAGCAAGCGGACCUCAUAAAGUAUGUCGUAGUCCGGAUUGGAGUCUGCAACUCGACUCCAUGAAGUCGGAAUCGCUAGUAAUCGUAGAUCAGAAUGCUACGGUGAAUACGUUCCCGGGCCUUGUACACACCGCCCGUCACACCAUGGGAGUGGGUUGCAAAAGAAGUAGGUAGCUUAACCUUCGGGAGGGCGCUUACCACUUUGUGAUUCAUGACUGGGGUGAAGUCGUAACAAGGUAACCGUAGGGGAACCUGCGGUUGGAUCACCUCCUUACCUUAAAGAA
RNAcentral lists this ribosomal RNA (1554 nucleotides) under Klebsiella pneumoniae. Its description in RNAcentral is "bacterial SSU rRNA". It matches the Rfam family "Bacterial small subunit ribosomal RNA". Lineage: Bacteria; Pseudomonadati; Pseudomonadota; Gammaproteobacteria; Enterobacterales; Enterobacteriaceae. The record is from RNAcentral.